This 304-nucleotide long non-coding RNA is filed under the name Sorghum bicolor (sorghum). Its description in RNAcentral is "long non-coding RNA (SBIC_LNC007423)". The record is from RNAcentral. Lineage: Eukaryota; Viridiplantae; Streptophyta; Magnoliopsida; Poales; Poaceae.
CGUCGGCGAGGCGGCGGCGGCACGCGACGAGCAGCAUCAUGCAGUAGAAGGUGAGCGCGGCGACGGAGAAGAGCAGCAGCGUCCCCGCCGCCCACCCGGUGUGCGAGAAGGUGUACGGCAGUCCCAGCACGCCGGCGCCCACCACCGCGAUGAAGACGUUGGCGAACGUCUUGGGCUGCGACGACAGGCCGACCUCGCGGCUCCCGCUGCCGUGGUGCGGCAGCAGCGGCGCCGGGUCCAGCCGCGACGACGAGGAGCUCGCCCCGUUAUUAUUCCCCAUUCCGAAUCCCAUGCCGAACCGCGC